This 216-nucleotide ribosomal RNA is filed under the name uncultured bacterium. RNAcentral describes it as "partial 16S ribosomal RNA". It matches the Rfam family "Bacterial small subunit ribosomal RNA", at positions 57 to 305 of the family's 1533-position model. The record is from RNAcentral.
GCAAGUCGAAUGAGUUUAUACUCAUGGCAGACGAGGUAGGAACACGUAGGUACGUACCCAAGAGUCAGGGAUACUCCGGUGAAAAUCGGCAUAAUACUUGAUAGUCCCUUCGGGGUAAAGAUUUAUCGCUCUUGGAACGGCCUGCGGUCUAUCAGCUUGUUGGUAAGGUAACGGCUUACCAAGGCUACGACGGAUAGGGGAGGUGAGAGCCUGGCC